Molecule: long non-coding RNA, 650 nt
Organism: Sander lucioperca (pikeperch)
Lineage: Eukaryota; Metazoa; Chordata; Actinopteri; Perciformes; Percidae
Exons: 6
Source: RefSeq, a predicted model, not a curated record
GUCUUACGCCGCCGUGGACCGACGUUAUUUAUCAGGUGUGCUCAACGGUUGUAGUGAUGUGUCCUAUUUCACUUCUACAAAGACACCCCUGUCCCAGCCCAUGGAUUGGUAAAAAUAAACUGUCUAAACUUGGACCCUUGAUCAUAAAUACAUCAUAAAUGGGCAAAAGGAAUUACUCAUUGAGGAUCUAACGUUGUCCUACCAAGACGUUGGAAAUUUCAUAAUUUCUGGGGGGACUCAUUACUUGCCUUGAAGACUUCUUUGGUUUGGAAGGGAUCACAAACAAGUUUCUCCAUGUUACCUCCAGCCAGGAAGAUGGUGGUCACCACUCCCAUCAGCACCCAGGAGAAGAUGAUGCUAAAUCCAACGCCGCUAUGGAGAAGGACAGACAGGCCCUCAGAGCGUAUCAGAACUGACUUCCCAUGAGCUUGGUGUAAAAACACCUCUGCACAAGUGCUGAUAUAACUGGAUUGGACAAUUUGUUACAUCUUGAGAAUAUUGAGACCAACAUCAUCCAGGUUUAUCAGAUACAGUGACCAGAUGAGAAUGAAAUUCGGGACAGGUGAGUUGGGGGUGUGUGUGGUAAUGUGGCCCCUUUGGAUGUAGCCUCCAGUACAUUACAUUCAGUGUCAACAAGCAGCAACAAUAAA